RNAcentral lists this microRNA precursor (86 nucleotides) under Nicotiana attenuata. RNAcentral's name for it is "MIR6152 microRNA precursor family". It matches the Rfam family "MIR6152 microRNA precursor family". The record is from Rfam by way of RNAcentral. Lineage: Eukaryota; Viridiplantae; Streptophyta; Magnoliopsida; Solanales; Solanaceae.
UAGACAGAUUAUUGUAUUCGACUGUAUUCACAAUCAAUUCAGUUGUUUUUAAACGGAAAGUGAAUCAAUUAACAUAAUAGACUCCU